AUCUAUGACCAUACCACCCUGAAUGCGCCCAAUCUCAUCUGAUCUCAGAAGCUAAGCAGGGUCGGACCUGGUUAGUACUUGGAUGAGAGAAACAUGGAAAGAUC
RNAcentral lists this ribosomal RNA (104 nucleotides) under Aotus nancymaae (Ma's night monkey). The record is from RNAcentral. Lineage: Eukaryota; Metazoa; Chordata; Mammalia; Primates; Aotidae.